AUUGAACGCUGGCGGCAUGCCUUACACAUGCAAAUCGAACGGUAACGGGCCUUCGGGUGCCGCCGAGUGGCGAACGGGUGAGUAAUACAUCGGAACGUGCCCGAUCGUGGGGGAUAACGAGGCGAAAGCUUUGCUAAUACCGCAUACGAUCUACGGAUGAAAGCAGGGGACCGCAAGGCCUUGCGCGGACGGAGCGGCCGAUGGCAGAUUAGGUAGUUGGUGGGAUAAAAGCUUACCAAGCCGACGAUCUGUAGCUGGUCUGAGAGGAUGAUCAGCCACACUGGGACUGAGACACGGCCCAGACUCCUACGGGAGGCAGCAGUGGGGAAUUUUGGACAAUGGGCGCAAGCCUGAUCCAGCCAUGCCGCGUGCAGGAUGAAGGCCUACGGGUUGUAAACUGAUUUUGUACGGAACGAAAAGCCUUCUUUUAAUACAGGAGGGUCAUGACGGUACCGUAAGAAUAAGCACCGGCUAACUACGUG
Molecule: ribosomal RNA, 482 nt
Filed under: uncultured bacterium
Lineage: Bacteria
Description: partial 16S ribosomal RNA
Rfam family: Bacterial small subunit ribosomal RNA
Source: RNAcentral